GUAGGUGGCAAGCGUUGUCCGGAAUUAUUGGGCGUAAAGCGCGCGCAGGCGGUUCUUUAAGUCUGAUGUGAAAGCCCACGGCUCAACCGUGGAGGGUCAUUGGAAACUGGAGAACUUGAGUACAGAAGAGGAAAGCGGAGUUCCACGUGUAGCGGUGAAAUGCGUAGAGAUGUGGAGGAACACCAGUGGCGAAGGCGGCUUUCUGGUCUGUAACUGACGCUGAGGCGCGAAAGCGUGGGGAGCAAACAGGGAUUAGAUACCCUGGUAGUCCGCGCCGUAAACGAUGAGUGCUAAGUGUUAGGGGGUUUCCGCCCCCUUAGUGCUGCAGCUAACGCAUUAAGCACUCCGCCUGGGGAUACGGCCGCAAGGCUG
This 372-nucleotide ribosomal RNA is filed under the name uncultured organism. Its description in RNAcentral is "partial 16S ribosomal RNA". It matches the Rfam family "Bacterial small subunit ribosomal RNA", at positions 527 to 896 of the family's 1533-position model. The record is from RNAcentral.